Molecule: ribosomal RNA, 253 nt
Filed under: uncultured bacterium
Lineage: Bacteria
Description: partial 16S ribosomal RNA
Rfam family: Bacterial small subunit ribosomal RNA
Source: RNAcentral
UACGUAGGGUGCAGGCGUUAAUCGGAAUUACUGGGCGUAAAGCGUGCGCAGGCGGUCUGCUAAGAGAGAUGUGAAAUCCCCGGGCUUAACCUGGGAACUGCGUUUGAAACUGGAAGGCUAGAGUGUGGCAGAGGGGGGUGGAAUUCCACGUGUAGCAGUGAAAUGCGUAGAGAUGUGGAGGAACACCGAUGGCGAAGGCAGCCCCCUGGGCUAACACUGACGCUCAUGCACGAAAGCGUGGGGAGCAAACAGG